RNAcentral lists this ribosomal RNA (654 nucleotides) under uncultured archaeon. RNAcentral describes it as "bacterial SSU rRNA". It matches the Rfam family "Archaeal small subunit ribosomal RNA", at positions 508 to 1160 of the family's 1478-position model. The record is from RNAcentral.
GCCUAAAGCGUCCGUAGCCGGCUCUGUUAGUUUUCGGUUAAAUCCAUAUGCUCAACAUAUGGGCCGCCGGGAAUACUACAAAGCUAGGGAGUGGGAGAGGUAGACGGUACUCCGUAGGAAGGGGUAAAAUCCUUUGAUCUAUGGAUGACCACCAGUGGCGAAGGCGGUCUACCAGAACACGUUCGACGGUGAGGGAUGAAAGCUGGGGGAGCAAACCGGAUUAGAUACCCGGGUAGUCCCAGCUGUAAACUAUGCAAACUCAGUGAUGCAUUGGCUUGUGGCCAGUGCAGUGCCGCAGGGAAGCCGUUAAGUUUGCCGCCUGGGAAGUACGUACGCAAGUAUGAAACUUAAAGGAAUUGGCGGGGGAGCACCACAAGGGGUGAAGCCUGCGGUUCAAUUGGAGUCAACGCCAGAAAUCUUACCCGAAGAGACAGCAGAAUGAAGGUCAAGCUGGAGACUUUACCAGACAAGCUGAGAAGUGGUGCAUGGCCGUCGCCAGCUCGUGCCGUGAGAUGUCCUGUUAAGUCAGGUAACGAGCGAGAUCCCUGCCUCUAGUUGCCACCAUUACUCUCAGGAGUAGUGGGGCGAAUUAGCGGGACCGCCGCAGUUAAUGCGGAGGAAGGAAGGGGCCACGGCAGGUCAGUAUGCCCCGAA